Molecule: ribosomal RNA, 500 nt
Filed under: uncultured bacterium
Lineage: Bacteria
Description: partial 16S ribosomal RNA
Rfam family: Bacterial small subunit ribosomal RNA
Source: RNAcentral
AUUGAACGCUGGCGGCAUGCCUUACACAUGCAAGUCGAACGGCAGCACGGGAGCAAUCCUGGUGGCGAGUGGCGAACGGGUGAGUAAUGUAUCGGAACGUGCCCAGUCGUGGGGGAUAACGCAGCGAAAGCUGUGCUAAUACCGCAUACGAUCUAUGGAUGAAAGCGGGGGAUCGCAAGACCUCGCGCGAUUGGAGUGGCCGAUAUCAGAUUAGCUGGUUGGUGGGGUAAAAGCUUACCAAGGCGAUGAUCUGUAGAUGGUCUGAGAGGACGACCAGCCACACUGGAACUAAGACACAGUCCAGAAUCCUACGGGAGGCAGCAGUGGGGAAUUUUGGACAAUGGGCGCAAGCCUGAUCCAGCAAUGCCGCGUGCAGGAUGAAGGCCUUCGGGUUGUAAACUGCUUUUGUACGGAGCGAAAAGGCUCUCUCUAAUACAGGGGGCUCAUGACGGUACCGUAAGAAUAAGCACCGGCUAACUACGUGCCAGCCGCCGCGGUAA